Molecule: long non-coding RNA, 296 nt
Filed under: Jatropha curcas
Lineage: Eukaryota; Viridiplantae; Streptophyta; Magnoliopsida; Malpighiales; Euphorbiaceae
Description: long non-coding RNA (JCUR_LNC003425)
Source: RNAcentral
GGCCCAGCCCAUGUGUGAUAUUGUCCGCUCUGGGCCCUACGGCCCGCACGGUUUUGUUCUUGGGGGAAAUGGGAAACUUCCCAGGAGGUCACCCAUCCUAGGAUUUCCGUUAAGCGAGCACGCUUAACCUCGGAGUUCUUCCAACUCUCCAGCCAUUUGACCACCAAAAGGCCUCACACAUGUUUUAAAUCGCCCACCUUAAGUACAUCACUUCCCUCUCGCACUUAACCGAUGUGGGAUUCGCCUAAGGUGAGUGCACUGUGAGUGCACUGUCACUACAGCCACCGCUCACCCCC